CCCCGCCGCUUCCCCGCCGCUCGGCCCGCGCCGCCCUGCCCUGCCCUGCCCUGGCCGCCCGCCUGCGCGGGAACCGGCCCGCCAGCAGCCCCUCUGUGGGGCGCUUGGGAGCAGCCCCCCCGGGGCCUCCAGCUCUGCGGGUCUGGGAAGCAGUGAUUCAGAGGCUCGCUGCCCUGCUUCAUCGUCACAGGACUGUAUCCCGUCCCUCGGUGAAUCUGGCUACCUUGCCCGCUUCCCCUGCCUCUGGUGGCAACGAGUCCCACCCAUCAGUGACACCCUGGGUAUUGUAGCACAUAUGGUAGACAACAUCAGCCCAUAUGGAAGGUAACACCAUCUAUGGCUAGAGGUACUCCGUUUAAUACCAGGCUUGAAAUGGGAGAACAAUUAAAAAGGAAACCUCUGAAUGGACAUGUGCUGGAACCUGUGGACCUGGUUUUGCAGAUUCUGGACGAGAGUGUAAAGUUACUCAUACAGACUUCCUGAUGAAAGUGCUGGGACUGGCUCAGGACCUCCCAAAGCCCCGCCUGGAGAAGUCAACUUACAGACGGGAUGGAAAUUCUGUGCGCAGCCUUCCUAGUUUCUUCUCCUCCAGACCUCGUACACAUCAGACCUUUCCCAGCAAAGGAACAGCCUUCAGCAGGGUCACCCGAAGACUCUUGGCACGGACAACUGGCAACCGUCAUGUAAAUGCACCUUUGUCAGCUACUGGGAACAAGCAGCCAUAUGUCUAACCUUUCAGGUUACAUGAGUUUCAAAAUUACCCCUAUUGUGAGAGAACUUUUUAAUGUCUCUGGCUGGCUCCAACCAUAGAAUCCCAUCGGUCUUCAUGUGGAACUGUUUGCUUUGUCACUUUCCCUUAUUUUCCUUCUAAAAUCUUGUGUAGGGAGGGAAUUUAUUGAGAUGGAGUGUGCUUGUUACACAGUCAUCUUCAACAAAACAUGACAAUCCAUCACACUCAGGUACUGCUAUUCCUUGAUUACAGUGCUUGGCAGUAAUGUCAUUGCUAAUAAAUCUGCAAAAAACUGGAGGAAACAAUAUUUGAACACAAACAGUAUUUAACAGUCAUGUACCCUCUUCUCACUCCAAGCUCACUUUUGCUUUUAAGGUGAGUGAGUGACACAGUGGGUGCAUCUACAUGAGACGCUUACUACACAUUAGCCUAAUAACAGCACGCAGCAGUGUGUUACAGCAUAAGCCGUGCUAAUAGCCUACUUCUCGGUGUUAUUAGGCACAGUAAGUAUCACUAAAUAACUGUGCGCCAGCGCUACUGUGCAAUACCUUUAGGUACUGCUCAUUUAGCUAGUACUUUAUUGAGGAAAUACUAAACUAAAUACAUAUAUUGCAUAGUAUCUAAGGCGUAUUAAUGAACGUGUAGACACACCCAGUAUGUUGCUAACUCUUACAGAUACGGUCCUGACAAUUAGAGAAGGCAAGUUCAUAUUGGAUGAGGGAGACCUUAUUUGAAAGAUUUUCAGUGUUCAGGCAUACACAUGGGAGAAAGUCCUGGAAGGGAGAAGGGCUGAAGGGUAAGAUGAGUAUAAAGAGUUUCCCAAAGUUCCUGCUCAUGACUUCUGUUGACAAAUCCUGUGCAUGAUUAAGUAUUCCUCAACUAAACAGAAACAGCUUUCAAGAAAUAAAAAGGUACACUUGUGAUAUAAA
Molecule: long non-coding RNA, 1659 nt
Organism: Alligator mississippiensis (American alligator)
Lineage: Eukaryota; Metazoa; Chordata; Crocodylia; Alligatoridae
Exons: 5
Source: RefSeq, a predicted model, not a curated record